AAGUCGUAACAAGGUUUCCGUAGGUGAACCUGCGGAAGGAUCAUUAUUGAAUUAUGUUUUCUAGAUGGGUUGUAGCUGGCUCCUAGGAGCAUGUGCACGCCUGUCUGGACUUCAUUUUCAUCCACCUGUGCACCCUUUGUAGUCUUUGUUGGGUAUGGAGGAAGUGGUCAGCCUUAUCAGCUCUCGCUGGAUAUGAGGACUUGCAGUGUGAAAGCAGUGCUGUCCGCUACUUGGCCAUGGAAUCUGUUUCCCAUCAGAGUCUAUGUUGUUCAUUAUACCCUAUAAACUGUUAUUGAAUGUCUUUACAUGGGCUUCUAUGCCUAUGAAAAUUGUAAUACAACUUUCAGCAACGGAUCUCUUGGCUCUC
RNAcentral lists this unclassified non-coding RNA (367 nucleotides) under Agaricus placomyces. Its description in RNAcentral is "partial internal transcribed spacer region". The stretch from base 1 to 46 matches the Rfam family "Eukaryotic small subunit ribosomal RNA", at positions 1786 to 1831 of the family's 1831-position model. Lineage: Eukaryota; Fungi; Basidiomycota; Agaricomycetes; Agaricales; Agaricaceae. The record is from RNAcentral.